UACAGAGGUCUCAAGCGUUGUUCGGAUUCAUUGGGCGUAAAGGGUGCGUAGGCGGCGCGGUAAGUCGGGUGUGAAAUCUCGGGGCUUAACUCCGAAACUGCAUUCGAUACUGCCGUGCUUGAGGACUGGAGAGGAGACUGGAAUUUACGGUGUAGCGGUGAAAUGCGCAGAUAUCAGGAGGAACACCGGUGGCGAAGGCGGUUCUCUGGGCCUUACCUGACGCUGAGGAGCGAAAGCAUGGGGAGCAAACAGG
Molecule: ribosomal RNA, 253 nt
Filed under: uncultured bacterium
Lineage: Bacteria
Description: partial 16S ribosomal RNA
Rfam family: Bacterial small subunit ribosomal RNA
Source: RNAcentral